ACCCUCCAGAUACCACUCCCUCAGAACUCAGCAUUGGUCUGAGCGGUGAUUGCCGGAGGAAAAGUGAAACUGAAGUGCACUUGGUGUCUUUAAUGACUUACCAGUUCAUCUCAAACAUUA
This is a small nucleolar RNA of Echinops telfairi (small Madagascar hedgehog), 120 nucleotides long. Lineage: Eukaryota; Metazoa; Chordata; Mammalia; Afrosoricida; Tenrecidae. The record is from Ensembl.